GAACUUCUUACAGGACAUCUUACAAAAAGGUCAUGUUGUGUAAAAUAGGAGAUUGGAAAAAUCCCAUCAAUCCAAGGAAUUUAGCAACAGGCAGUACUCAGAUAAUGUAAGAUCAAAGCUUUUGGUGUUAUCGACCUUCUGCUUCAUAAAAAUCUGGGAAGCAGAUUUAGAUUCUAAUUAUGGCUAUCCCAUAACUAUAAAAACAGCUUUUGUUUAUCAAGCAGCAUUAAAUUAGGACUAGUCUUCUUCUCAAUUUUUUUCUCAGAUUUCAGGGCUUAAAUAUCAGCAGUUAUUUUACUGUCAGUUUAAAAUGAGACUUUAGCUGACCCUUCCC
Molecule: long non-coding RNA, 334 nt
Filed under: Gallus gallus (chicken)
Lineage: Eukaryota; Metazoa; Chordata; Aves; Galliformes; Phasianidae
Source: RNAcentral